UACAGAGGUCCCAAACGUUGUUCGGAUUCACUGGGCGUAAAGGGCGCGUAGGCGGCGUGGUAAGUCACUUGUGAAAUCUCUGAGCUUAACUCAGAACGGUCAAGUGAUACUGCUGUGCUAGAGUGCGGAAGGGGCAAUCGGAAUUCUUGGUGUAGCGGUGAAAUGCGUAGAUAUCAAGAGGAACACCUGAGGUGAAGACGGGUUGCUGGGCCGACACUGACGCUGAUGCGCGAAAGCCAGGGGAGCAAACGGG
Molecule: ribosomal RNA, 253 nt
Filed under: uncultured bacterium
Lineage: Bacteria
Description: partial 16S ribosomal RNA
Rfam family: Bacterial small subunit ribosomal RNA
Source: RNAcentral